This 28-nucleotide non-coding RNA is filed under the name Homo sapiens (human). Lineage: Eukaryota; Metazoa; Chordata; Mammalia; Primates; Hominidae. The record is from RNAcentral.
UGCUGGGCCAGGAACUUCCUUUUCUGUU